GACGAGGGGUCCAAGCGUUGUUCGGAAUCAUUGGGCGUAAAGCGGGUGUAGGCGGCUUUGUAAGUCAGGAGUGAAAUCCCCGAGCUUAACUUGGGAAGUGCUUUUGAUACUGCAGAGCUUGAAUGUGGGAGAGGGUAGUGGAAUUCCAGGUGUAGUGGUGAAAUACGUAGAUAUCUGGAGGAACACCGGUGGCGAAGGCGGCGUUCUGGACUGCAACUGACACUGAGAAACGAAAGCCAGGGUAGCAAACGGG
This 253-nucleotide ribosomal RNA is filed under the name uncultured bacterium. RNAcentral's name for it is "partial 16S ribosomal RNA". It matches the Rfam family "Bacterial small subunit ribosomal RNA", at positions 524 to 776 of the family's 1533-position model. The record is from RNAcentral.